This 278-nucleotide ribosomal RNA is filed under the name uncultured Akkermansia sp. RNAcentral describes it as "partial 16S ribosomal RNA". It matches the Rfam family "Bacterial small subunit ribosomal RNA", at positions 511 to 788 of the family's 1533-position model. The record is from RNAcentral. Lineage: Bacteria; Pseudomonadati; Verrucomicrobiota; Verrucomicrobiia; Verrucomicrobiales; Akkermansiaceae.
GCAGCCGCGGUAAUACAGAGGUCUCAAGCGUUGUUCGGAAUCACUGGGCGUAAAGGGUACGUAGGCUGCGAAGUAAGUCGUGCGUGAAAGGCAGGGGCUCAACCUCUGGAGUGCGCGUGAUACUGCUUUGCUAGAGUAAUGGAGGGGGAACUGGAAUUCUUGGUGUAGCAGUGAAAUGCGUAGAUAUCAAGAAGAAGACUCGUGGCGAAGGCGAGUUCCUGGACAUUUACUGACGCUGAGGUACGAAGGCUAGGGUAGCGAAAGGGAUUAGAUACCCC